UACGGGGGGGGCAAGCGUUGUUCGGAAUUACUGGGCGUAAAGGGCUCGUAGGUGGCCAACUAAGUCAGACGUGAAAUCCCUCGGCUUAACCGGGGAACUGCGCUCAAAACUACCGUGCUCGAGGAAGACAGAGGUAAGCGGAACUUCGGGUGGAGCGGUGAAAUGCGUUGAUAUCCGAAGGAACACCGGUGGCGAAAGCGGCUUACUGGGUCUUUUCUGACGCUGAUGCACGAAAGCCAGGGGAGCAAACGGG
Molecule: ribosomal RNA, 253 nt
Filed under: uncultured bacterium
Lineage: Bacteria
Description: partial 16S ribosomal RNA
Rfam family: Bacterial small subunit ribosomal RNA
Source: RNAcentral